This 252-nucleotide ribosomal RNA is filed under the name uncultured bacterium. Its description in RNAcentral is "partial 16S ribosomal RNA". It matches the Rfam family "Bacterial small subunit ribosomal RNA", at positions 107 to 354 of the family's 1533-position model. The record is from RNAcentral.
UGAGUAACGCGUAUGCGACCUGCCCGUUGCAGGGGGGAUAAUCGGGAGAAAUCCCGUCUAAUACCGCGUAACGCCGCGGGGCUGCAUGGCCCUGCGGCCAAAGGGAGCGAUUCCGGCAACGGAUGGGCAUGCGUGACAUUAGCUAGUUGGCGGGGCAACGGCCCACCAAGGCGACGAUGUCUAGGGGUUCUGAGAGGAAGGUCCCCCGCACUGGUACUGAGACACGGACCAGACUCCUACGGGAGGCAGCAG